AGUCAUAUGAAUGAGAGUCGAAG
RNAcentral lists this non-coding RNA (23 nucleotides) under Cricetulus griseus (Chinese hamster). The record is from RNAcentral. Lineage: Eukaryota; Metazoa; Chordata; Mammalia; Rodentia; Cricetidae.